This 451-nucleotide unclassified non-coding RNA is filed under the name Hevea brasiliensis (rubber tree). Lineage: Eukaryota; Viridiplantae; Streptophyta; Magnoliopsida; Malpighiales; Euphorbiaceae. The record is from RNAcentral.
AUUUUACGCCUUAACAAACCAACCCCACCAAGACUUCAAACUAACUCAACAAAUACCCUCUUCUUCCUCACCUCUUACUCUUCAACCUUCUCUCUUCUCUCUCUCUAUCUCUCUGGAGCUAGCUUAGAAAGCAAGAGGAGGAUAACCAAAUGAAGCUCUCGGCUCUGCAGCAGAGCUACAUGAAUCGCCGGAGCACCAGCUUCAGAGGAUCAGCACCGUUAGAUUCGUCUGCUGAAAGUGCGAUUAAAUCUCCGGCAGCUAUCUUUUGGCUCCUUCUUCACGGUGUUUGCUGCCUUAUUAGUCUUGUCCUUGGUUUCCGUUUCUCUCGUUUAGUUUUUUUGUUUCUUUUCUCCACCUCUACCUCUAAUCUCUACAGCACGCCCUUCCGUCAGCUCACCUCCACCGCUGACCUGGCCAAUUCUCUUAAUGUCCCUUCCAAUCCGGUUGUUAA